This 554-nucleotide long non-coding RNA is filed under the name Hordeum vulgare. RNAcentral's name for it is "long non-coding RNA (HVUL_LNC002621)". Lineage: Eukaryota; Viridiplantae; Streptophyta; Magnoliopsida; Poales; Poaceae. The record is from RNAcentral.
UUCCCGCAUUUAGAAACGUUGUUCUGUUAUGAGGAUGAACAACAAGAAGCCUCAUGAAGCCUGAAGAACGGUAGGACACAAGCGGAGGACUAGCCGAUUGCUAAAAUGUGGAUGUUGGUUGCUCCCACACACAAUUUGCCACACCAUCGGCAAUAUAACGCCACGCCAUUGCAACCUCCGAUGACCGCGGGCUUCAAUCAACAGCUCAACGACCUACGUUUCUGACAUCUCUUGAUGAAUUCUAGAUUUUACUGGGUUACUAUUGUUUGGCGGGUUGACAAAUGCGUCUAAUCUAUAUAAUCUCCCGGACUCCACAUAUUGAAUCAAAAACCAGAAAACGCACUAUAAACUGCUUUGCUACCUCGCAGAAGAUUGGUUUUCUGGUCUUACUUAGUCCGACGCAAGCUGUUAACAACGUGAGUUAUUUCCAUUGAAGAAUGGUCUUUGAUUUGGUUUUCUCCAAAAUCUCACAUGAGCCAAACGAAAGUGAAGAUGAAGGAGUACUAUCAUACAAGAAUAAUGCGAAUGACACCCUUAAAGAAGCAUACAUAUAU